AUUACUGGAGGUUUGACGUUUCAGUAGCUGCCUGCUUCAAGGAUUUAAAUGAAACAAAAUCUGAAAAAAGGAAUAAAUAUUUCCAGAUCUGGAUGUAGUAGGAUGACAGGAAAACUAAAACAGAUGCCAUUGAGAGAACAAAAUACAGCUGAA
Molecule: long non-coding RNA, 153 nt
Organism: Sinocyclocheilus anshuiensis
Lineage: Eukaryota; Metazoa; Chordata; Actinopteri; Cypriniformes; Cyprinidae
Exons: 2
Source: RefSeq, a predicted model, not a curated record